CCCUUAGAUGUUCUGGGCCGCACGCGUGCUACACUGAGUGGAUCAGCGGGUCAGGUUGCGCGAAAGCGUUUCCUAAUCUUGAAAUCCGCUCGUGAUGGGGAUUGACGGUUGCAACUUUCUGUCAUGAACGAGGAAUACCUUGUAAGCGCGAGUCAUCAUCCCGCGCUGAAUACGUCCCUGCCCUUUGUACACACCGCCCGUCGCUCCUACCGAUUGAGUGGUCCGGUGAGGCUUUGGGAUCUGAGCGGAAAGAGCGUUUCGCUCGUUCUGCCCGGAAAACUCAGUCGAACCUUAUCAUUUAGAGGAAGGAGAAGUCGUAACA
RNAcentral lists this ribosomal RNA (322 nucleotides) under uncultured eukaryote. RNAcentral's name for it is "partial 18S ribosomal RNA". It matches the Rfam family "Eukaryotic small subunit ribosomal RNA", at positions 1470 to 1796 of the family's 1831-position model. The record is from RNAcentral.